RNAcentral lists this unclassified non-coding RNA (269 nucleotides) under Hevea brasiliensis (rubber tree). Lineage: Eukaryota; Viridiplantae; Streptophyta; Magnoliopsida; Malpighiales; Euphorbiaceae. The record is from RNAcentral.
AUUCAAUGCGGAUAGAUAAGGUUUUUUGAUCUACUAUGACAUAAAUGGUUGCACUGAGAGCUUCUGUGUGUGUGUGUGUGGAUUUUGCAAAUUGACAUGUUUGGAAGAUCUGGGUUUUUGUUUUUGAUUUCUUGUUUGCUUAGUUUAGCUAGCAUGAAAUUUUUUUGGUUGCAUGUGCUGUGGUUAAGAGGACGUUACUGUUUAGUUCAUUUCAUUUAAAUAUCAUGUUACCGGACAUUUAGAUGUUUAAAUAUAUGAAUUAAUUGAAA